Molecule: unclassified non-coding RNA, 252 nt
Filed under: Helicobasidium sp.
Lineage: Eukaryota; Fungi; Basidiomycota; Pucciniomycetes; Helicobasidiales; Helicobasidiaceae
Description: partial contains 5.8S ribosomal RNA, internal transcribed spacer 2, and large subunit ribosomal RNA
Rfam family: 5.8S ribosomal RNA (bases 1-52)
Source: RNAcentral
AACGCACAUUGCGCCCUCCGGUAUUCCGGGGGGCAUGCCUGUCCGAGCGUCAUUACAACCCUCAAGCCCGGCUCGUGUGUUGGGCGCCGGCCCCCCGGGGCCCGCCCGAAAUAUAGGGAUUUCCCGUUGAAGGGCUCCCAGCGUAUGGGCUUACACCCGCUGAGAGAGACCCUAGACACGGAGGUCGAACCCCCCUAGUUUAACUAUAACUCGGUGGACCUCGGAUCAGGUAGGGAUACCCGCUGAACUUAA